Molecule: long non-coding RNA, 734 nt
Organism: Lycium ferocissimum
Lineage: Eukaryota; Viridiplantae; Streptophyta; Magnoliopsida; Solanales; Solanaceae
Exons: 2
Source: RefSeq, a predicted model, not a curated record
UAUUUUCGAAGCUCCUCAACUUAUUAUUUCUCAGGUUUUUACCGUCAUUAUAUUUUCAAUUUGUUGGUUUUACUUUCCUUUUUAGUCUAUUUAAAAAAGAAUGCUUCUUUUCUUUUUUGACACCAAUUUGCUUUGUUGAUCUCGCAUUUUGCUUUCGUCAUUUUCUUUUCUGCCUUGAUUUGAUUACACUUCUUUUGAGCCGAGAUCUAUCUGAAACAACCUCUCUAUCAUACAAAGUUGUAGGUAGAGAUAAGGUUUGCGUAUAUCCUAUUCUUCCGAACCUCACUCAGAUUAUUCUUAAAAUCAUGAUAAAUUGUUUUUUUUAAAAUUGAUUAAAACUAGAAAAGUGGACAUUAAUACAUAAAGAAGGUAAGUUGCAUACUUGUAUUAAGUGAGGGACCUGGUUUGCGAGUUGGCGAAGCUAGACAGGGCCACUUUCUGUCAGGUCCACCGGGGAUAACGAUUAGUUCAUGCGACAGUUCAUUGCUUAAGUGAUUACAGAUUAUUUUUAUUCAUAUGACUCAUUUCACAUGAGAUCUUUUAUGUUGAAACAUUUGAAAAAAAAAAAAAGAAAAAAAAAAAAGACAAUAUGAAACAGAAAAUCACUAAAGGACCAUUUUUAUUCUAUUAACCUAUUAUUUUAUCUGUUUAUAUUACACUCCUUGGAUGUUAUAUGCAUCGGGCUAGUUUAACCAAUUAUUAGGUUGUCUACCCUAAUCCAUUUUUAUUUUUUU